UCGGGAAUCUUGGACAAUGGGCGCAAGCCUGAUCCAGCCAUGCCGCGUGGAUGAUGAAGGCCUUAGGGUUGUAAAAUCCUUUCGCCGAGGACGAUAAUGACGGUACUCGGAGAAGAAGCUCCGGCUAACUUCGUGCCAGCAGCCGCGGUAAUACGAAGGGGGCUAGCGUUGUUCGGAUUUACUGGGCGUAAAGCGCGUGUAGGCGGGUCGUUAAGUUGGGGGUGAAAUCCCGAGGCUCAACCUCGGAACUGCCUUCAAAACUGGCGACCUGGACCUAAGUAGAGGCAAGUGGAAUUGCGAGUGUAGAGGUGAAAUUCGUAGAUAUUCGCAGGAACACCAGUGGCGAAGGCGACUUGCUGGACUUAUGGUGACGCUGAGACGCGAAAGCGUGGGGAGCAAACAGGAUUAGAUACCCCGGUAGUCCCUGAGCGGGCUGGCAAGGCGCAU
This 447-nucleotide ribosomal RNA is filed under the name uncultured bacterium. Its description in RNAcentral is "bacterial SSU rRNA". It matches the Rfam family "Bacterial small subunit ribosomal RNA", at positions 355 to 825 of the family's 1533-position model. The record is from RNAcentral.